AUUAAACGGGGCAGCCCCGAUGUUCCGACACCCCGUUAGUCCGACACCCCAUUGGUCCGACACCCCAUUAGUCCGACGCCCCAUUGGUCCGACACACCAAUAGUCCGACAAUACAAUUAAUCCCGAUCAAUUAUUAUAGUAGUAAGCUGAUAUACAGAAACUUACUAAUUUGUGAACCUAGUGUUAGACUAGUUUUUAGAAAGCAAUCAGGGACACAUCGAUAGUACUAUUAUGUAAAUGUUUAUCUUUAUGAGGAACAACAUAAGAUAACUUGCAUACCGAAACUGUGAACACACACUUUCCACAUCAAUUAACUAGUCACAUAACCCGCUAUCCGAACGGAAUUUCUUACCCCUCACCCCUCCAUUGCGGGAAAUGCAAACAACAAUCUUCAACUUCAACUCAUUUAUUGGUAAACAAAUUGAUUCAAUAUUGUUGAUUAAAGAUAUACAGUCGUUGGGUAGUUUGACCGAAUCCGAAAACUUUUGAGUUCUUUCUUAUUUGUUUGUUUAUUGUUUGUCCUAUUAUAUUAGAUAUAUUGUAUUUGAAAUGAUAAAAGUGAACACAAAUUCAGGAAUUUUGCGACUUAGAUCAAGGGGUUCCCCUAGAGUAUCUAUAUCAAAGGAAACAAAAAAAUCAACUUGUAAGUAUACAAGAAAAAGGACAAUACAAAUGUUCAAGUAAAUUAAUCCCUACACAUUUUUGUUUAGAGGUCAGCUGAAACACGCCUCCGGGUGCGGGAGUUUCUCGCUGCAUUGAAGAACCAGAAGUGGCCUCUGGCUGUUGUCUGUCGGAUUGUUGUCUCUUUGACACAUUCUCCAUUUCCAUGCUCAAUUUGACUAUUAAGAAAAAUAAAAGUUGUUCAAAACAAAAACUCGAACUCACAACCUGAAAUGUAACUAGUUGAUCUGGAAGGAUAUAAACAACACUACAAAGAAAGUCUCAUCAGAAGAUCGGUAUAUUCUUACUUGUUACCGGUAUUAGAAUGUACAAUGAUAGUAGUUUCACGGAACCAAGAAAAAAAACCCACGUACAGGUAUAUUAUUACAAAAAGCAUCUAGCUGGUAUCAAAAUAUCAACAAAAUAAAUGCAGGUUCAAAUAUUGGAAGUAAUGUUAUGGCAGUUCUGUAUUUGUUUUAAUACGUCCGUCAAAAAAUUGACUGAACGUAUUAUGGUAUACAAAUGUCCGUCUGUCCGUUUGUCCAAUUAUUUGUCCGGCGUAAAUAUAUCGAACCGUAACUUGAGAACGACUCAUCUAAAUUUCAUGAAACUUAACAUAGUUGUUUCUUAUGAUAGUCAAACGAUCUGUAUACUUUUUGAUGAAAAUAAGAUUAAAACUUUUUGAGUUACGGGACUUUGUAACUAUAACAGGGGUGUAAUUUUUUU
Molecule: long non-coding RNA, 1386 nt
Filed under: Mytilus galloprovincialis (Mediterranean mussel)
Lineage: Eukaryota; Metazoa; Mollusca; Bivalvia; Mytilida; Mytilidae
Source: RNAcentral